This 452-nucleotide ribosomal RNA is filed under the name uncultured bacterium. RNAcentral describes it as "bacterial SSU rRNA". It matches the Rfam family "Bacterial small subunit ribosomal RNA", at positions 29 to 526 of the family's 1533-position model. The record is from RNAcentral.
AACGAACGCUGGCGGCAUGCCUAAUACAUGCAAGUCGAACGAGAUCUUCGGAUCUAGUGGCGCACGGGUGCGUAACGCGUGGGAAUCUGCCCUUGGGUUCGGAAUAACUUCUGGAAACGGAAGCUAAUACCGGAUGAUGACGUAAGUCCAAAGAUUUAUCGCCCAAGGAUGAGCCCGCGUAGGAUUAGCUAGUUGGUGGGGUAAAGGCCCACCAAGGCGACGAUCCUUAGCUGGUCUGAGAGGAUGAUCAGCCACACUGGGACUGAGACACGGCCCAGACUCCUACGGGAGGCAGCAGUAGGGAAUAUUGGACAAUGGGCGAAAGCCUGAUCCAGCAAUGCCGCGUGAGUGAUGAAGGCCUUAGGGUUGUAAAGCUCUUUUACCCGGGAUGAUAAUGACAGUACCGGGAGAAUAAGCUCCGGCUAACUCCGUGCCAGCCGCCGCCGUAACAC